RNAcentral lists this long non-coding RNA (3550 nucleotides) under Cicer arietinum (chickpea). Its description in RNAcentral is "long non-coding RNA (CARI_LNC001721)". The record is from RNAcentral. Lineage: Eukaryota; Viridiplantae; Streptophyta; Magnoliopsida; Fabales; Fabaceae.
CAAACAUACAUGAAUAGAGAACUUUAGCACAAAAUCCAGCCAAAUAUAACACUAUUUAAGGGGGAAAAAAGACCAAAGUUGGAGAAAAUAUAACCAAACCUAGCUAGGCGAGUGUAAAGUAAUUGCUUAGACAAAAGAUUGCAUUUCUCAAUGGUAGGAGGUUCCUGAAUGUAUUGCUUGUUCUGCUCCAACAAUUGCUUGUAGUAAACAGAUCCAUGCUUGGAUAUAAAUUUAGAUGCUUGACAUGCUUUGGACUGCAACUGCUGCAACUUCGCCGCCAUUAAAUCUGCAAGUGAAGCAGAAAGCACAAAGUUAAUCCAUAAUUCAAUUAUAUUCUAAUCAAGUAAACAAUAUAUUACAAUACCUAAAUUAAUUUAAGAAAACCUAAAUUAUUCUACUGAUUGAUAAUCAAUACAGUUUUUGAUGCAAAAAUAAAACCGUAUAUAUUCGGCGAUUUAUGAAAAUGAGUGAAAGCAUGAGAAUGAGAUAGAAUAAAACGAGAGAAAAGGCGCAGAUCUGAAGAGGAAUGCAAGAAAGGAGAGUAACUAUAGACGAUUCAUUCAAAGAUGAAAUAAUAAAACGGAAAAGAGAAGAUUGCUACCUUGUGGAGUGAAUUGAUCGGAAAUUGUUUAGCCGCCGUUACCACGCGGAUUCUGCAAGAAACAAGGAUGCGGCACUCACUCUCUCUAUCUGCGACUACCAACUUUCUAAGUCUCAAACCUUGUGUGCUUUUUUUUCUAUAUUUUUUUUUAGUAUCUUCAAGUCUUUUGAACAGUUUUGGGCCAUAUGAACGAAAGUAGGUGGCAAUGAAGUUUCUAUUACCACCCCUGUUUUUUCGUCAAUAAAGUUACACCCCACCGUAAAAGUUUAUUCAUUGUUACUUUUCUCAAAAUACCCAUGUUCCAAAGUUUUUUUUUUAUUUUUAAUCAUUCCAAAGCAGACUUCUAAAAGUUAUAUUUCUUGUCCUAAGUAGGCUAGUUCUAUUGUAGGCUAUCGUGACAACCUUAGUCCUAAACUAAUAUUUAAAAAUUGUAUGAAAUUUAAUAAUGAGGAUCUUAAAAGUAAAAUUCAUAAUAUUUUUUAAUUGUAAUGUCUAAAAAAUAAUAUGAAUAAUGUUAAUUUAAUAAAAAUAAGAUAAAUUGAUUAUAGACAUGUAUACUUCAAAACUCAAUUAUUUUUAUAACAUAAAAUGACAUUAAUCAGAUUAUUAUCUCAAAUAAUCAGUCUUCUUAAAUAUUUUACUUAUUCUCAAAUACCAAUACACAAUAGAACUUCUCUCUUAUUUAUUGUACAUUUUGUAAAUUAAAAAGUUUCAUAAAUAAAUUAGAAGCCAACACUCGUACCACAAGUGUUUCAGAAGUUUUUUUUAUUAAGAAGUUAUUAAUAACAAACUACUAUCCUUAUAAAAAGUACUCGUAAAUAAGGCAUAAUAUAACAAAAAGAAUAAACCAUGACAUUUAAAAUAAUUUGAAAUAUUGCAUUGUGUUUUACCUGUACAAAGUGAAUAUUCUCCCCAAUGAUGGUUGACUUCUAAGAAGAAGAAGAAGAAAAAACAAAGGCUAUUUUAACUUGUUCAAUUUUGUGAAUUCACAAACCUUAAUAACAUAGGUUGGCCUAGAGCUUGACUCAUUUAAAUAGUAAAAUUGAUUGAAUAUUUGAAGUUAAUUUUGCAUAAUUUUACUAAUAACUCAAUUUGUUUACAUCACUAUCACCUCAUAGAUUCAACUCCUUUAAAAUGAACGACUUACUUUAAAGAUUUAGGUAUAUUAUCAAUUGUUAAUAAAUAAAUCAAAAAUUAACAUAAAAUGCAUAUACAUAACCAAUCAUAAGUGAUUAUAAAGUGAUUAUAACCAAACAUAAAUGAUUAUAAUCUCAACUAUUAGCCAAAUACUCAUUUCAUAUAUGUAACCGAACCUAAAUUUAACAUCGUGACCAGAAAACAGUACAAAAAUUCCACAAUUUUUAUUCUCGUUGUAAUGUUUCAUGCAAAGCUGAAAACAUUGAUAGUCAUUGAAAAUGGCAAAAAUGAUUAAAAAAUUACAGGAAAAUAAUUAUCGUCGAAUACCACAGCUAGCUUUCUUACAUGAUAAAAGAACAAUGUAUGGUUCAUCCCGCUUCAAAUACAAGAGGUUACUGAGGCUUAUUAACCACUAUUUUCUCAACCUUUUUCCCUCGAAAAAAGAAUGACAAAUUGCUUGUAGAAUGCCCAAAAUCGACAUAAUGUUAUAAAUGACAGUACUCCUGACUUUAGGAGAAUAGACCCCGCUAAAUCUUACAUUAUUAAGUGAUUACUGUCAGACAUAGUAACCCGUGAAAGUAAAUCCCCUUCCAACAAUCUCACCAGCACAAAACCAUGCAAAGCAUUCCAGGCCAAACAAAACGGCAAUACCUGCAUCUUCAACCUUCAACUCUUGCCUAUUCUUCCAGAAUUGCUUGGUAUAAUCAAGUUCCUUCCAAAAGGACUCACAACGACCUGGAAUACUGCAAAACACGGUGAGUUAUAACUUAUUAGUAAUAGAAGCGACAAAAACUUAGAAUAGAUUUGUUAUACAUAUAUAGCUACAAGACACGUGCAAGGAAAUGCUGGAAAAAAGCCCCAGCCAAAAACCAACAUAUCUAUCUAUGCAUACCUAUGGAUCUAGUGGCAUGUUUCAUCAUGCCCUAAACACCAAUAAAUUACAAUUCUAAAUCUGUCUUACGGAUGGCUGUGAUGUAGAAAAAUAAUUACAAAAGCAGAAUAGUUAUUUUAUUUCCUCAGAGAUUUAUUGGUCAACGUAUUUAAUUUUAGAACUACUUAAACCGUUAGGACGGGUCGAUAAACAGCCAUUCUCUUUGCAUUUCUAUAGGAGUGCAGAACAAUGUUCAGAAUAUAUCUUCUGAUGUUUCAAUUCAACAUAAGAAUAGAAUUCUGGUCAUAUCUACAGGUUCAAGGUAAGAUUCCGAUUCCUAUACCUCAUGAUCCCUAAUUCAUGACCUUAACUCUAAGAUUCCUAUUCCUAUACCACUAAGUUAAUGACACUUCACUGCUGAGAAAGUACUCAUGUUCAUCACAUGAUCACAUGACCAUCUUAUAUAUAAUAGCAAAAUAACUAGCAAAUAAAUAGUAUUAAUCUAAUACAAAACUAAGAUGCUUCAUAAUAACACUUCGGGUCUCUGACUGUCCACUUUGUAUUUCAAGUGUAAGUUCCAACCAACAUAAUUAAAAAUUAGGUUCAAAACUAGCGACCUCGCCCUCCAUUGCUUCCUCCCUCAAUACAGAAAAGGAUAGGCAGUUAGAAAGACCGACAUCAAAGUGUAAUGUAACAAAGAAUGUCAAUAUUAAUAACUUCAUCUAAAAUCAAUAAAUGUGGCCAAGAAGCAUGGAUAGUUAGAAUAUUACACACAAAAUCCAGCUAGAUAUAACAUUGUUAAAAAAGCGAAAAGUUGGACAAAAUAAAACCUAGCAAGGCGGGUGUAAAAUAAUUGCUUAGACAGAAGGUUGCAUUUCUCUAUUGUAGGAGGAUCCUGAAUGUAUUGCUUGUUUUGCUCCAACAACUGCUUGUGGUAUGCA